GUCUUUUUUUGCUUUUUAAAAUUUGGAUAUGUUUAGUCCACUUUCUAAAUAAAUUUCUGCAGUAUUUGGUCUAAAGGAGGCACAUUCUACUUCCUUGAGGUUCACUGUCAACCAAAGCAUUUCCCUUUGGAAACUGACUUAGUGUAAGUCGUGCAUUAGAAUUGUAAAUGGCAACUGUAACUGGCUUUUUUUAUGUUACUUUUGAAGAUCAUUGAUGUGCUGUGGCUAUAUAUGAAUGUGAGUGACUUUCUGAACAAAUUUACCAGAACUUCCAUAGUCCAGUAAGUCUUUGUUUUUCUAAAUUGUCAUCUACUAGUGGCAAGGAAGCAGAAGAGAAGGUUAAUUUCAUACAUAGCUGUUAGAAAUGUAAAUUGUGACAUCCUCCUUGGAAAUCAUUGUGACUCUGUCUUUUAACAUUAAGAAUAUAUUAUACUCUUUAAUACCAAUCUUUAAGAAGAAAAGUACCAGUACUUAAGAUUAUAUGUUUAUCAGUGUAUAUUGUAUAUUUUGAUAAGGACAAAAAAAGGAAAUAAUGUGACUAUCAGUAAGGGAAUGAUUGAGUAAACUGGUAUAAAAAUAUAUCAUGGCUGGAUGGUUUUCUAUGAAAAAAUGUGUAGGGGGAGCAAAUGCCUCCAGGUCAGAUAAGGAAAGCAAGGAAAAAGAGUAUGUGUUUGUACACCAAGUUUUGUAAAAUAAAGAUCUAAGAAUCUUAUGUGUGUAUAUUUGCAUAUAAUUUUAUGGGCCUAGAGAAUAGAAUUUUCCUACUUCAAAAAUACAAUCAUAAUUCCAUUGGAAAAUUUUUCAUGCGUUCCUUAGUCCCUAAAUGAACACUCAUUUAUACUAAAACUGUUACCCAUUAAAGUGGGCCCUGUUAGUUAAUUAACAUUAGCAUAGCUAAGGCAGGCUAAGCUGCACGGCGGCUCGCCUCUGGCUCUAGCUGUCACAGCUGCCUCGUGGGCUCGACUUGAACCUGUAUUCUGAACAAAAACACAUAUUUGACAUUCAUUGUUCCUGCAGUGGAAACGAAUCCAAAAACAGAUGAUAGUAAAGGCAGAAAAACCUAUGGAAAACUUUCAGGGAAUGCCAGCGAUACUACUAUAAAUGAGCGAAUUACAGAUGCUCUGAGAAAACACCUGCCUACCUGAGCAGCUGCAGAGGUGACCAUGGGAGUGACUGUCCUUUCAUGAGCUCCUUACUCCCAACACUUUAAAAAUCCAGGUCAGAACUAAAAAAAAAGUGCUUUGUGGUCCUCAUAAACCAAAGCAUUUGUAGAUGGAACUCCUAAAGACAGGUCCUUACAGCCUGGGCGAGGCCACAGCCCAGAGGUUCAGGGUGCAGGACAAAACCCAGCUGGUCGGGGUGUUCCCAGGUGUGGGCCUCUCACUCCAGAGCCCAUGCCCACCCGCUGCCCUUGUCCCGUGACUGUCUUUAUUCUACUGAUAUUUUAAUUUUGGAGAUUUUCUUUACAUUUCCAUAAAUAACCAUUUUUGUAACUAAAAUGUUUACAUAUUUUAGCUUUUUCACGUUGUUCUAUGUAUAAAUCUGAAGUUGGGGACCAUCUUGGUAUAUAGCUGACUUGGAUAAUCUGUUUGGUGUCAUUCUACUGUUGAACUAGCUGGAGGACUAAUAAUAGAGGAGAGCAGAUGUGGUGUCUUUCACCAGAGAUAAGCAACUUGAGACCACUUAACAAGUCCACACCCCUGGCCCUCUGUCACAUUCUUGAAAAAUGCUUAAAAGAGGGACCCCCCCCAACCUUUCAGCGCACCUCCUCGCUGAGGACCCACACUUUCCUUUCUUUAAAUGUGUAACUUUAAAUAAAGCUGUCUCACUGCUCAA
Manis javanica (Malayan pangolin) is the source of this 1836-nucleotide non-coding RNA. Lineage: Eukaryota; Metazoa; Chordata; Mammalia; Pholidota; Manidae. The record is from RefSeq and is a predicted model, not a curated record.